Molecule: long non-coding RNA, 1927 nt
Filed under: Gallus gallus (chicken)
Lineage: Eukaryota; Metazoa; Chordata; Aves; Galliformes; Phasianidae
Description: lncRNA (ENSGALG00010024312.1)
Source: RNAcentral
GCCAGGAUAAAAGCCAUCCCACUUAGUGUCCAUUUCACAAAGUGAAAUCUAAUUAGUAAAAUGUUUAAAAGUUAAUGAAGAAUACACGAUGUCAGAAAAUAUGUUCUAAUGAAGAGCAGUCCUCUCAUACCAGCACUGUGCUGUCAUAAACUCUUACUACGUAAGUCAUAUUUUGGUGUCGACGCUAAUAAAAUACUGUAAGUAAUGGGCCAGGAGGUGUGCUGUGCAAAAUGUCUCGCCAUCUCUUUAGAAGUUCAACUGUAAUGUUAAUGGAGCCUCCCUGCAGACACAUGCAUGAGAGCAUCUUACUAAAUGCUGGGUUUUGCCUUCCAGUUCAUGUCUCUUUCUCCAGAACUUUGGACAAUAAUCCAGUGAGGGUGUUUCACUCAGGUCUCUGGGAUGCAGACACUGUCUUAGACACAGUCUAGCUUGUCUGAAUUGUCCUAUCCAGUGAUAGGACUAGAGGGAAUGGCUUCAAGCUGCGCCAGGGAAGGUUCAGGCUGGACAUUAGGAAAUACUACUUCUCUGAAAGGGUGGUCAGGCACUGGAAUGGGCUGCCCAGAGAGGUGGUGGAGUCACCGAGCCUGGUGGUGUUCAAAGAGCGUUUGGACGUUGUGUUGAGGGACAUGGUUUAGGGAGAACCAUUGGUGAAGGGUGAAUGGUUGGACUGGAUGAUCCUGUGGGUCUUUUCCAACCUUAGCGAUUCUAUGAUUCUAUGAUUCUAUGACUUUCAGUUCGUUGGUGCUGUUUUCAUUGCUUUUUAAAUACAGGCCCUAAUUUCUUUUUGACGGUGCACACCAAAUGAUAACACACGGGCCCGGAGGCCCUUUCUUCAGUUGUGCUCACUGCCACCCAAAUUCAGAACCAUAUUUAAGUUUUGAACUCAGUUGCAAUACUUUUAAUAAAUCCCUUAUGAAACACUGAAGGAAGUUGAAAGCUGAUGAAUAUGGAUCAAUUAAUAUCCAGGCUUGAGACAUGCGUGUUUCAAGAACACUGCCGUGACGUGGUGUGGCACAUGUAACUUCCCGCAGUGUAUAACUUAGAGUCACCAGUUAGAUCACUGAACUUGGAGAGGCUGACAUGGCUGUCCUCUGAUCUGUCGGAUUGUUAAUAAUGUGGACUUUGUGUGGACAAAAAACCACAUCCCAUGUCAUUUACUAAUGCUUUUAUUUUAUUUGUGUACUCUGGCUACCAGAAGGAAACUAAAAUUUUCAAAAUUACAUACUAUUUUAAUAAAUGUUCGUGCUUUCCCCCAGCACUACUGAGACUUCCUUCUACAGUCUUCCUUGUUGCAUCUGUAUCAUGUUUUAUUUCUUUUCAUUCACUUCUGCCCUCACUGGGAUGUGUACGGUUGAAAUUUAAGUAAACCAAAUAAAUUAUAUUUGAAUUCCAACAUGGGAAUCUUGCCUAAUGAGUCUGGCACGUUAUCUGUGUUGAUAGGAGACAACUAAUAUUUAAUAUUACCAGUCAUAAAAAAUAGCUACUUAGACUGCUUAUAGAGAAUCUUAAAUUUUUGCAUUCUAUUUAUUUUUCAUUUAUGUCUGUUCUUAAACAUCUUCCUCUGUCUGUUUGUUAGCUGAUAAAUCUAACUGUUAUAGGCUUAGUGUAGACAUCAUUUAUACCUAGAAAAGCAUAUCUGAAAAUACAUUACCUUUAAAUAGUGGGAUCCAUCACAUCUGAGCUCCCAUGUCUGAUAGUGGAAAAAGCUCCAUUUCAUUUCAGAAGAAAAAUUGCUUCUGUCAAGGUAAACAGAAUGCAUUAUCCCCCUUUAAUAACCAUUUUUAAGCAUGCUUCUGUAUAACUUUUUUUCACAGCUGUAUUGCAAUAAGCCUUAGAGUAAUUGCCAGUUCUUCUGCCUAAUAGGUUCAUUAUUCUUUUGCCAUAAUUGCAGCCAUUAAACGUCCAAUUGUUAAAUUUCCACUCCUAC